GCUGGCGGCAUGCCUUACACAUGCAAGUCGAACGGCAGCACGGACUUCGGUCUGGUGGCGAGUGGCGAACGGGUGAGUAAUACAUCGGAACGUGUCCUGGAGUGGGGGAUAGCCCGGCGAAAGCCGGAUUAAUACCGCAUACGCUCUGUGGAGGAAAGCGGGGGAUCGCAAGACCUCGCGCUCAAGGGGCGGCCGAUGGCAGAUUAGCUAGUUGGUGGGGUAAAGGCCUACCAAGGCGACGAUCUGUAGCUGGUCUGAGAGGACGACCAGCCACACUGGGACUGAGACACGGCCCAGACUCCUACGGGAGGCAGCAGUGGGGAAUUUUGGACAAUGGGCGCAAGCCUGAUCCAGCAAUGCCGCGUGUGUGAAGAAGGCCUUCGGGUUGUAAAGCACUUUUGUCCGGAAAGAAAACUUCCUGGUUAAUACCCGGGGAGGAUGACGGUACCGGAAGAAUAAGCACCGGCUAACUACGUGCCAGCAGCCGCGGUAAUAC
Molecule: ribosomal RNA, 496 nt
Filed under: uncultured soil bacterium
Lineage: Bacteria
Description: bacterial SSU rRNA
Rfam family: Bacterial small subunit ribosomal RNA
Source: RNAcentral